RNAcentral lists this ribosomal RNA (806 nucleotides) under uncultured bacterium. RNAcentral describes it as "bacterial SSU rRNA". It matches the Rfam family "Bacterial small subunit ribosomal RNA", at positions 57 to 884 of the family's 1533-position model. The record is from RNAcentral.
GCAGUCUAUGAGAAGUUAGCUUGCNNAAUGGACUCAUGGCGGACGGGUGAGUAACGCGUAAAGAACUUGCCCUUUAGACUGGGAUAACAGAGGGAAACUUCUGAUAAUACUGGAUAAGUUAGUAUAUCGCAUGAUAUGCAAAUGAAAGCUACGGCACUAAAGGAGAGCUUUGCGUCCUAUUAGCUAGUUGGUAAGGUAAGAGCUUACCAAGGCGAUGAUAGGUAGCCGGCCUGAGAGGGUGGACGGCCACAAGGGGACUGAGAUACGGCCCUUACUCCUACGGGAGGCAGCAGUGGGGAAUAUUGGACAAUGGAGGGAACUCUGAUCCAGCAAUUCUGUGUGUGUGAAGAAGGUUUUAGGACUGUAAAACACUUUUAGUAGGGAAGAAAAAAAUGACGGUACCUACAGAAGAAGCAACGGCUAAAUACGUGCCAGCAGCCGCGGUAAUACGUAUGUUGCGAGCGUUAUCCGGAAUUAUUGGGCUUAAAGGGCAUCUAGGCGGUAAGACAAGUUGAAGGUGUAAACCUGUGGCUCAACCAUAGGCUUGCCUACAAAACUGUUGAACUAGAGUACUGGAAAGGUGGGUGGAACUACACGAGUAGAGGUGAAAUUCGUAGAUAUGUGUAGGAAUGCCGAUGAUGAAGAUAACUCACUGGACAGAAACUGACGCUGAAGUGCGAAAGCUAGGGGAGCAAACAGGAUUAGAUACCCUGGUAGUCCUAGCUGUAAACGAUGAUCACUGGGUGUGGGGAUGCGAAGUCUCUGUGCCGAAGCAAAAGCGAUAAGUGAUCCGCCUGGGGAGUACG